GAUAAAGAGAGAUCAGAAAUACAUGAGGCAGAGGAAGCAAGGUUGAAGAGAAUUGAGAAAUACAUAUCAAAGCAUAGACAUAGACGUAGAUAUUGAUAAUAGGAUUAACUGAAUGGAUCAGUUUAAUUUUUUAAGUGUCAUAUUAAUUUUAUACUUGUAUAAUUUUGUAUUGCAACUGUGCCAAAAUUACUUGCUACAUUAUGUAAUAAUUUCUACUCAAUGAA
Amphimedon queenslandica is the source of this 224-nucleotide long non-coding RNA. RefSeq lists it as uncharacterized. The record is from RefSeq and is a predicted model, not a curated record. Lineage: Eukaryota; Metazoa; Porifera; Demospongiae; Haplosclerida; Niphatidae. The transcript is spliced from 2 exons.